RNAcentral lists this ribosomal RNA (254 nucleotides) under uncultured bacterium. RNAcentral describes it as "partial 16S ribosomal RNA". It matches the Rfam family "Bacterial small subunit ribosomal RNA", at positions 524 to 776 of the family's 1533-position model. The record is from RNAcentral.
UACGUAGGGUGCAAGCGUUUGUCCGGAAUUAUUGGGCGUAAAGAGCUCGUAGGCGGUCUGUCACGUCGGCUGUGAAAACCCGAGGCUCAACCUCGGGCCUGCAGUCGAUACGGGCAGACUAGAGUUCGGUAGGGGAGACUGGAAUUCCUGGUGUAGCGGUGAAAUGCGCAGAUAUCAGGAGGAACACCGGUGGCGAAGGCGGGUCUCUGGGCCGAAACUGACGCUGAGGAGCGAAAGCGUGGGGAGCGAACAGG